This 46-nucleotide small RNA is filed under the name Desulfomonile tiedjei DSM 6799. RNAcentral's name for it is "Acido-Lenti-1 RNA". It matches the Rfam family "Acido-Lenti-1 RNA". Lineage: Bacteria; Pseudomonadati; Thermodesulfobacteriota; Desulfomonilia; Desulfomonilales; Desulfomonilaceae. The record is from Rfam by way of RNAcentral.
CCACGGGUUCGCGCCCGUGGCUACGAUAGUCCGUCCUUUCAGGACG